AUCCUAUGAUUUGGACACUUCCUCAUCAACUCCUUAAAUCUGUUACAGGCCUCGUUAUAGCUUUCUCUAUCUUUCUGUUGAAAGGUUUGAAUUCUCAAUCUGAUUUU
This 107-nucleotide small nucleolar RNA is filed under the name Olea europaea subsp. europaea. RNAcentral describes it as "Plant small nucleolar RNA R71". It matches the Rfam family "Plant small nucleolar RNA R71". Rfam says of the family: R71 is a member of the C/D box family of snoRNAs containing the C (UGAUGA) and D (CUGA) box motifs. Multiple nearly identical copies of this snoRNA have been identified in Arabidopsis, and it is thought to function as a 2'-O-ribose methylation guide for 18S ribosomal RNA. Lineage: Eukaryota; Viridiplantae; Streptophyta; Magnoliopsida; Lamiales; Oleaceae. The record is from Rfam by way of RNAcentral.